UGAGAGGUUGGCGCGGGCAAGCUCCUCGCCAACUCGGUCAGAUCCGGAAGGAAGCAGCCGCAACGAGCCCCGCUUGGGUCGAUGUCAAUCUCUCACCA
RNAcentral lists this signal recognition particle RNA (98 nucleotides) under Tateyamaria sp. Its description in RNAcentral is "signal recognition particle sRNA small type". The stretch from base 6 to 93 matches the Rfam family "Bacterial small signal recognition particle RNA". From Rfam's summary of the family: The signal recognition particle (SRP) is a universally conserved ribonucleoprotein involved in the co-translational targeting of proteins to membranes. Archaeal SRP consists of a 7S RNA and homologues of the eukaryotic SRP19 and SRP54 proteins. Lineage: Bacteria; Pseudomonadati; Pseudomonadota; Alphaproteobacteria; Rhodobacterales; Roseobacteraceae. The record is from RNAcentral.